This 493-nucleotide ribosomal RNA is filed under the name uncultured bacterium. RNAcentral's name for it is "partial 16S ribosomal RNA". It matches the Rfam family "Bacterial small subunit ribosomal RNA", at positions 29 to 507 of the family's 1533-position model. The record is from RNAcentral.
ACGAACGCUGGCGGCGUGCUUAACACAUGCAAGUCGAACGGUGAAGCGCCUUCCUUUUUGGUGGGUGUGGAUGAGUGGCGAACGGGUGAGUAACACGUGAGUAACCUGCCCCCUUCUUCUGGAUAACCGCAUGAAAGUGUGGCUAAUACGGGAUAUUCUGGGUCUGUCGCAUGAUGGGUCUGGGAAAGAUAUUGUUUCGGUGGGGGAUGGGCUCGCGGCCUAUCAGCUUGUUGGUGGGGUGAUGGCCUACCAAGGCGGUGACGGGUAGCCGGCCUGAGAGGGUGGACGGGAACACUGGGACUGAGACACGGCCCAGACUCCUACGGGAGGCAGCAGUGGGGAAUAUUGCACAAUGGGCGCAAGCCUGAUGCAGCGACGCCGCGUGAGGGAUGGAGGCCUUCGGGUUGUGAACCUCUUUCGCCAGUGAAGCAGGCCUGCCUCGUUUGUGGGUGGGUUGACGGUAGCUGGAUAAGAAGCGCCGGCUAACUACGUG